RNAcentral lists this ribosomal RNA (468 nucleotides) under uncultured bacterium. Its description in RNAcentral is "partial 16S ribosomal RNA". It matches the Rfam family "Bacterial small subunit ribosomal RNA", at positions 28 to 507 of the family's 1533-position model. The record is from RNAcentral.
GACGAACGCUGGCGGCGUGCUUAACACAUGCAAGUCGAACGGAAAGGCCCUGCUUUUGUGGGGUGCUCGAGUGGCGAACGGGUGAGUAACACGUGAGUAACCUGCCCUUGACUUUGGGAUAACUUCAGGAAACUGGGGCUAAUACCUGAUAGGAGCUCCUGCUGCAUGGGGGGGGUUGGAAAGUUUCGGCGGUUGGGGAUGGAAUCGCGGCUUAUCAGCUUGUGGGUGGGGUAGUGGCUUACCAAGGCUUUGACGGGUAGACGGCCUGGGAGGGUGACCGGACACAUUGGGACUGAGAUACGGCACAGACUCCUACGGGAGGCAGCAGUGGGGAAUAUUGCACAAUGGGAGGAAGCCUGAUGCAGCAAAGCCGCGUGCGGGAUGACGGCCUUCGGGUUGUAAACCGAUUUCGCCUGUGACGAAGCGUGAGUGACGGUAAUGGGUAAAGAAGCACCGGCUAACUACGUG